GGGCUGGUAUGCAGAGACUGAGCUUCCAGGCAGCAAAAGGAGCAGGAGGGAACGGGGUGAGUGGGGAACACCAGGAGGCUCUGAAACUUCUGUGAAGAGGAUCAAACUUCCACCUGUCUGGUUUGCCAUCUGUCCC
Chelonoidis abingdonii (Abingdon island giant tortoise) is the source of this 136-nucleotide non-coding RNA. The record is from RefSeq and is a predicted model, not a curated record. NCBI's taxonomy places the organism in Eukaryota, Metazoa, Chordata, Testudines, Testudinidae.